This 69-nucleotide transfer RNA is filed under the name Mesocricetus auratus (golden hamster). It matches the Rfam family "tRNA". Rfam says of the family: Transfer RNA (tRNA) molecules are approximately 80 nucleotides in length. Their secondary structure includes four short double-helical elements and three loops (D, anti-codon, and T loops). The record is from Rfam by way of RNAcentral. Lineage: Eukaryota; Metazoa; Chordata; Mammalia; Rodentia; Cricetidae.
GGGGAUAUAGCACAGUGGUAAUGUCUUGACUAGUAUACAAAGUCCUGGGUUCAAUUCCCAGUAUUACAA